GGGUUGUGAGGUUAAGCGACUAAGCGUACACGGUGGAUGCCCUGGCAGUCAGAGGCGAUGAAGGACGUGCUAAUCUGCGAAAAGCGUCGGUAAGGUGAUAUGAACCGUUAUAACCGGCGAUGUCCGAAUGGGGAAACCCAGUGUGAUUCGUCACACUAUCGUUAACUGAAUACAUAGGUUAACGAGGCGAACCGGGGGAACUGAAACAUCUAAGUACCCCGAGGAAAAGAAAUCAACCGAGAUUCCCCCAGUAGCGGCGAGCGAACGGGGAGCAGCCCAGAGUCUGAAUCAGCUUGUGUGUUAGUGGAACGGUCUGGAAAGUCCGACGGUACAGGGUGAUAGUCCCGUACACCAAAAUGCACAGGUUGUGAACUCGAAGAGUAGGGCGGGACACGUGGUAUCCUGUCUGAAUAUGGGGGGACCAUCCUCCAAGGCUAAAUACUCCUGACUGACCGAUAGUGAACCAGUACCGUGAGGAAAGGCGAAAAGAACCCCGGCGAGGGAGUGAAAAGAACCUGAAACCGUGUACGUACAAGCAGUGGGAGCACCUUCGGGUGUGACUGCGUACCUUUUGUAUAAUGGGUCAGCGACUUAUAUUCUGUAGCAAGGUUAACCGUAUAGGGAGCCGCAGGGAAACCGAGUCUUAACUGGGCGUUAAGUUGCAGGGUAUAGACCCGAAACCCGGUGAUCUAGCCAUGGGCAGGUUGAAGGUUGGGUAACACUAACUGGAGGACCGAACCGACUAAUGUUGAAAAAUUAGCGGAUGACUUGUGGCUGGGGGUGAAAGGCCAAUCAAACCGGGAGAUAGCUGGUUCUCCCCGAAAGCUAUUUAGGUAGCGCCUCGUGAAUUCAUCUUCGGGGGUAGAGCACUGUUUCGGCUAGGGGGUCAUCCCGACUUACCAACCCGAUGCAAACUACGAAUACCGAAGAAUGUUAUCACGGGAGACACACGGCGGGUGCUAACGUCCGUCGUGAAGAGGGAAACAACCCAGACCGCCAGCUAAGGUCCCAAAGUCAUGGUUAAGUGGGAAACGAUGUGGGAAGGCACAGACAGCCAGGAUGUUGGCUUAGAAGCAGCCAUCAUUUAAAGAAAGCGUAAUAGCUCACUGGUCGAGUCGGCCUGCGCGGAAGAUGUAACGGGGCUAAACCAUGCACCGAAGCUGCGGCAGCGACACUAUGUGUUGUUGGGUAGGGGAGCGUUCUGUAAGCCUGCGAAGGUGUGCUGUGAGGCAUGCUGGAGGUAUCAGAAGUGCGAAUGCUGACAUAAGUAACGAUAAAGCGGGUGAAAAGCCCGCUCGCCGGAAGACCAAGGGUUCCUGUCCAACGUUAAUCGGGGCAGGGUGAGUCGACCCCUAAGGCGAGGCCGAAAGGCGUAGUCGAUGGGAAACAGGUUAAUAUUCCUGUACUUGGUGUUACUGCGAAGGGGGGACGGAGAAGGCUAUGUUAGCCGGGCGACGGUUGUCCCGGUUUAAGCAUGUAGGCUGGUUGUCCAGGCAAAUCCGGAUAAUCAAGGCUGAGGUGUGAUGACGAGGCACUACGGUGCUGAAGUAACAAAUGCCCUGCUUCCAGGAAAAGCCUCUAAGCAUCAGGUAACAUCAAAUCGUACCCCAAACCGACACAGGUGGUCAGGUAGAGAAUACCAAGGCGCUUGAGAGAACUCGGGUGAAGGAACUAGGCAAAAUGGUGCCGUAACUUCGGGAGAAGGCACGCUGGUGUGUAGGUGAAGCCCCUGCGGGUGGAGCUGAGACCAGUCGAAGAUACCAGCUGGCUGCAACUGUUUAUUAAAAACACAGCACUGUGCAAACACGAAAGUGGACGUAUACGGUGUGACGCCUGCCCGGUGCCGGAAGGUUAAUUGAUGGGGUUAUCCGUAAGGAGAAGCUCUUGAUCGAAGCCCCGGUAAACGGCGGCCGUAACUAUAACGGUCCUAAGGUAGCGAAAUUCCUUGUCGGGUAAGUUCCGACCUGCACGAAUGGCGUAAUGAUGGCGGGCUGUCUCCACCCGAGACUCAGUGAAAUUGAACUCGCUGUGAAGAUGCAGUGUACCCGCGGCAAGACGGAAAGACCCCGUGAACCUUUACUAUAGCUUGACACUGAACAUUGAGCCUUGAUGUGUAGGAUAGGUGGGAGGCUUUGAAGCGUGGACGCCAGUCUGCGUGGAGCCAACCUUGAAAUACCACCCUUUAAUGUUUGAUGUUCUAACGUUGGCCCUUACCGGGGUUGCGGACAGUGUCUGGUGGGUAGUUUGACUGGGGCGGUCUCCUCCCAAAGCGUAACGGAGGAGCACGAAGGUUAGCUAAUCUGGUCGGACAUCAGGAGGUUAGUGCAAUGGCAUAAGCUAGCUUGACUGCGAGCGUGACGGCGCGAGCAGGUGCGAAAGCAGGUCAUAGUGAUCCGGUGGUUCUGAAUGGAAGGGCCAUCGCUCAACGGAUAAAAGGUACUCCGGGGAUAACAGGCUGAUACCGCCCAAGAGUUCAUAUCGACGGCGGUGUUUGGCACCUCGAUGUCGGCUCAUCACAUCCCGGGCUGAAGUAGGUCCCAAGGGUAUGGCUGUUCGCCAUUUAAAGUGGUACGCGAGCUGGGUUUAGAACGUCGUGAGACAGUUCGGUCCCUAUCUGCCGUGGGCGCUGGAGAAUUGAGGGGCUGCUCCUAGUACGAGAGGACCGGAGUGGACGCAUCACUGGUGUUCGGGUUGUCAUGCCAAUGGCACUGCCCGGUAGCUAAAUGCGGAAGAGAUAAGUGCUGAAAGCAUCUAAGCACGAAACUUGCCCCGAGAUGAGUUCUCCCUGAGACUUUAAGUCUCCUGAAGGAACGUUAAAGACGAUGACGUUGAUAGGCCGGGUGUGUAAGCGCAGCGAUGCGUUGAGCUAACCGGUACUAAUGAACCGUGAGGCUUAACCUUACAACGCCGAAG
This 2913-nucleotide ribosomal RNA is filed under the name Klebsiella pneumoniae. RNAcentral describes it as "23S ribosomal RNA". It matches the Rfam family "Bacterial large subunit ribosomal RNA". Lineage: Bacteria; Pseudomonadati; Pseudomonadota; Gammaproteobacteria; Enterobacterales; Enterobacteriaceae. The record is from RNAcentral.